Molecule: ribosomal RNA, 305 nt
Filed under: uncultured bacterium
Lineage: Bacteria
Description: bacterial SSU rRNA
Rfam family: Bacterial small subunit ribosomal RNA
Source: RNAcentral
UCCUAUGGGGCGUAGCAGUGAGGAAUAUUGGUCAAUGGGCUUACGCCUGAACCAGCCAAGUCGCGUGAGGGAAGACUGCCCUAUGGGUUGUAAACCUCUUUUGUCAGGGGGCAACGCCGGCUACGUGUAGCCGGACUGAGAGUACCUGAAGAAAAAGCAUCGGCUAACUCCGUGCCAGCAGCCGCGGUAAUACGUAGGGAGCAAGCGUUAUCCGGAUUUAUUGGGUGUAAAGGGUGCGUAGACGGGAAAUUAAGUUAGUUGUGAAAUCCCUCGGCUCAACUGAGGAACUGCAACUAAAACUGGUU